GACGAACGCUGGCGGCGUGCUUAACACAUGCAAGUCGAACGCUGAACCCGCUUCGGUGGGGGAUGAGUGGCGAACGGGUGAGUAACACGUGGGCAACCUGCCCCCGGCUCUGGGAUAACUCCAAGAAAUUGGGGCUAAUACCGGAUGUGACCGCUGGCCGCAUGGUCUGGUGGUGGAAAGGGUUUCCGGCUGGGGAUGGGCCCGCGGCCUAUCAGCUUGUUGGUGGGGUAGUGGCCUACCAAGGCGACGACGGGUAGCCGGCCUGAGAGGGUGACCGGCCACACUGGGACUGAGACACGGCCCAGACUCCUACGGGAGGCAGCAGUGGGGAAUAUUGCGCAAUGGGCGGAAGCCUGACGCAGCGACGCCGCGUGGGGGAUGACGGCCUUCGGGUUGCAAACCUCUUUCAGCAGGGACGAAGCGCAAGUGACGGUACCUGCAGAAGAAGCACCGGCCAACUACGUG
Molecule: ribosomal RNA, 465 nt
Filed under: uncultured bacterium
Lineage: Bacteria
Description: partial 16S ribosomal RNA
Rfam family: Bacterial small subunit ribosomal RNA
Source: RNAcentral